RNAcentral lists this ribosomal RNA (1353 nucleotides) under metagenome. Its description in RNAcentral is "SSU rRNA". It matches the Rfam family "Eukaryotic small subunit ribosomal RNA", at positions 1 to 1321 of the family's 1831-position model. The record is from RNAcentral.
UCUGGUUGAUCCUGCCAGUAGUGAUAUGCUUGUUUCAAAGAUUAAGCCAUGCAUGUCUAAGUAUAAGCGAACUUAUACAGUGAAACUGCGGAUGGCUCAUUAAAACAGUUUGAAUUUAUUUGAUGAAUGUAUGAGAAUACUACUUGGAUAACCGUAGUAAUUCUAGAGCUAAUACAUGCAACGACGCCCGACCGUUUCACUACGGAAGGGCUGUAUUUAUUGGAUACCAAAACCAUCCUUCCCUCGGGAAGUUUUGUUUGAUGAUUCACAAUAACUGAUCGGAUCGCCACUGUGGUGGCGACAGGUCAUUCAACAUUCUGCCCUAUCAGCUUUCGAUGGUUGUGUAGUGGACAACCAUGGCCAUAACGGGUAACGGAGAAUCAGGGUUCGAUUCCGGAGAAGGAGCUUGAGAAUUGGCUACUACAUCUAAGGAAGGCAGCAGGCGCGCAAAUUACCCAAUCCCGAUUCGGGGAGGUAGUGACAAAAAAUAACAAUACCGGGCCUUUUUGGGCUUGGUAAUUGGAAUGAGGGAGAGUUAAACGGACCAUCGAGUAUCCAUUGGAGGGCAAGUCUGGUGCCAGCAGCUGCGGUAAUACCAGCUCCAAUAGCGUAUAUUAAAUUUGUUGCAGUUAAAAAGCUCGUAGUUGGACUUGUGUGCGCUGUCCGCGGGUGGCCUGCGCCCAAAAGGGCGUUUCGGUUCGGCCCCGGUGGCGCCUUGAAAUCUGCAGCUGGGGGGACGUUGGCCUUAACUGGUCGGCGACCGCACGCCGGCUGCUCGGUUACUGUGAGAAAAUUAGAGUGUUCAAGGCAGGCAUUGGGUGCAAUUGAAUACAUUAGCAUGGAAUAAUAAAAUAUGGCUCCUGCCGUAUUUUGUUGGUUUUGACUGGUGGGAGUAAUGAUUGAUAGGGACGGUUGGGGGUGCUAGUAUUGAGCGGCCAGAGGUGAAAUUCAUGGAUUCGCUCAAGACUAACUUAUGCGAAAGCAUUCACCAAGGACGUCCUCUUUAAUCAAGAACGAAAGUUGGGGGAUCGAAGACGAUCAGAUACCGUCGUAGUCUCAACCAUAAACUAUGUCGACUUGGGAUCGGCGGUAGUUUUUUCAUUAAGACACUGUCGGGACCACGGGAGAAAUCAAAGUGUCUGGACUCUGGGGGAAGUAUGGUCGCAAGGCUGAAACUUGAAGGAAUUGACGGAAGGGCACCACCAGGAGUGGAGCCUGCGGCUUAAUUUGACCCAACACGGGGAAACUUACCAGGUCCAGAGAUGUAGAGGAUUGACAGAUUGAAGCUCUUUCUUGAUCACUUCGGUGGUGGUGCAUGGCCGUUCUUAGUUGGUGGAGUGAUUUGUCUGGUUA